Molecule: long non-coding RNA, 899 nt
Organism: Chroicocephalus ridibundus (black-headed gull)
Lineage: Eukaryota; Metazoa; Chordata; Aves; Charadriiformes; Laridae
Exons: 5
Source: RefSeq, a predicted model, not a curated record
AGAAUCACAAGAAAUGUUGCACCUUGUUCUCCUGUUUCUUGACCCGGAUCUAUGAAGAUUUCUGUGCCUUAAUCAACGCAAACAUAACAUAAGAAUUUCUUAUGCCUCCACCUGCCUAGCACAAGACGUUAAGGAGUGCAAGUUCAGGCAAAAGGGGAAUCAGAGUUGCUUUAUUUGGAGAAGGUGAGCUCACAAGCAGAAUCAUAAGAGCUAAAGGCGAAACAAAUACAUCAUUGGAAGAUCUGGGUGCAGAAAAAAAGGCCUUGUUUUCAUUUAUACACGUGGGAAAAACGUCUACCGUGGGAAAAACGUCUACCGUGGGAAAAAGAAACAGGAACAUGAGGCUUGUCCAAUAUGGUCCUUUGAGAGCUCUAUGUGGGGAGAAAGGAUUUACCUACGGGUUCAACACCACACCGCCGGCCCCACAAACUGCUGUCCCUGCUCUGCAGGUAUUUAACUGUAUCAAACAUCCUGGGACUUAAGAAAAAUAAUAAAAUAAAGAGGCAGCGGUCUCCAAGUGUACACUUUGGCAUUCUUUUCUCGGGGAGACCGAGCUGGAGGAGAGCCCUGCGCCCUGGAUGGUGUCUCUCAUCAUUAACAGAAAUCUGUUUAAAAGAGGUAAAAGCAGUAGGUUUCCACUGCUUUGCAGAAAUGCCAGAGGCAGGAGAGUGGGUCUUGCACAGCCAGGCAGCGCACCCCACCCUGAGCCUGCGUUGUUCAAAGCCACGAUUCAAGUAACCUUUUGUGCAAAGGUUUUCCCUUCCUAUUUGUUUUCGCCAUUACAUUAAGUUUAUUUCAACUGUUUCAUAUGUUUCCAGCGCUCUUGUUUCCCCCUGCCUUUCAAGUUACGUAAGCUUUGGGUAAGUUCGGCUUUUAAAAGGGUUUUUAAAUAUUAUCUU